Long non-coding RNA from Dreissena polymorpha, 3766 nucleotides. RefSeq lists it as uncharacterized. The record is from RefSeq and is a predicted model, not a curated record. NCBI's taxonomy places the organism in Eukaryota, Metazoa, Mollusca, Bivalvia, Myida, Dreissenidae. The transcript has 2 exons.
UAUUAGUUUAUGUUUGAAAUACCGUCCAACCAUCGCACAAUCCCUCCCCCCCCCCCCCCCCUCAAUUUUUUUUUGCAUUUUUUUCGCUUUUUUUCGCAUUUUUGAAAAAUAAUGUAAUAAAUGUCCACACCCCCACACUAUACACCCCUCUUCACUCCACCCCUCCCUUCUUUGUGAUUGAAAAUGAGAGUCCCUUCACCUUUAAAAAGAAAAAUAGAUGAGCGGUCUGCACCUGCAAGGCGGUGCUCUUGUUUAUAUUCUGUCUUGAGUUUGCGGUUUUUAUGGCCCCCACUAUAGUAGUGGGGGACAUAUUGUUUUUGCCCUGUCUGUUGGUUGGUCUGUUGGUUGGUUGAUUUGCGCCAACUUUAACAUUUUGCAAUAACUUUUGCUAUUGAAUAUAGCAACUUGAUAUUUGGCAUGCAUGUGUAUCUCAUGGAGCUGCACAUUUUGAGUGGUGAAAGGUCAAGGUCAUCCUUCAAGGUCAGAGGUCAAAUAUAUGUGGCCAAAAUCGCUCAUUUUAUGGUAACUUUUGCAAUAUUGAAGAUAGCAACUUGAUAUUUGGUAUGCAUGUAUAUCUCAUGGAGCUGCACAUUUUGAGUGGUGAAAGGUCAAGGUCAAGGUCAUCCUUCAAGGUCAGAGGUAAAAUAUAUGUGGCCCAAAUCGCUUAUUUUAUGAAUACUUUUGCAAUAUUGAAGAUAGCUACUUUAUAUUUGGCAUGCAUGUGUAACUUAUGGAGCUGCACAUUUUGAGUAGUGAAAGGUCAAGGUCAUUCUUCAAGGUCAGAGGUCAAAUAUAUGUGGCCCAAAUCGCUUAUUUUAUGAUUUACUUUUGCAAUAUUGAAGAUAGCAACUUGAUAUUUGGCAUGCAUGUGUAUCUCAUGGAGCUGCACAUUUUGAGUGGUGAAAGGUCCGGUCAUCCUUCUAGGUCAAAUAUAUCGGUCAAAAUUGCUCAUGUAAUGUAAUUUCUGCAAUAUUGAAGCUAGCAUUUUUUUAUUUUUCAAAAAACAUGACUGGUGUAUUGUCUUGAAGAAUACCGCUGUCAUUAUUGAUUCUUUUGUAAAACUAUGUGUUUUUAAUGAUUGUAGACAAGUUUGAAAGUGCUUUAAGAAUUCUUUAAGCUGAUCUAAUUUUUCUGGUGCUUUUAUUUCUUGGUUCAAGUGCCAGUAUAUAAGAAUGAUGGAAAGUUUACAAUGUUAACAAAAGUGUGACGUUGUAAAUUCUGUUUUGUUUAUACUGUUUUACUUGAAUGCUAUAGUGUGGUUUUAUUUGUGCUUGGGAGACAUUAUGACUUUGGUUUAACCAAAUGGCUUGUUAUAAUUGUUGUUACAUUUCGUAAUAUUUUUUUCUGUUAAAAUAUAUCAAAUGUGAUUUUACCAUAUCUGACAAGAUUGUUACCUUUCCAUGUAUGUCUUUAUAUGUGCUAUAAUGGUUUAAAUGGUGAGUUCUGUGUAGCUGCUCGAAUGUUUACUAUUUUAGCAGCCCUGUGGGAAAACCGGUCUUAAUGCAUGUGGGUAAAGUGUUGUUUGAGAUUAGCAUGUUUGUCUGUUGGGGCUUAUCAGGGAUAGCACUUUCCUCCGUGACACAAAUUUUGUAUAAAUGAGACUUCCUUUAAAUAAAAAAAUCAAUGGCAGCUUAAGGCUCCUCCCUGAGUAGCCUGUGUGGACUGCACAGGGUAAUCUGGGUGAACACUUUGAGCACAUGCAUUAAGCUUGUUUCUCCCUUAGUAUGGCUUAUUAGCUCGGCUGUUUUCGGAGAAAACCCGAGGUAUUGUCAUAGCCAGCUCGUCGUGUCCGCCGUCCGUGUCAAGGUUUGUAAAGGUUUUUAACAUUGGCUCUAAAAUCAAAGUCCUUCCACCUACAACUUUGAAACUUCAUAUGUAGAUGCACCUUGAUGAGUUCUACAUGUCACACCCAUUUUUGGUUUACUAGGUCAAAGGUCAAGGUCACUGUGACCAAAAAAAAAAUAAAAAAAAUUCUGACAAGCUUUCGCAGCCGAGCUUGGCACCCGUUAUGCGGUGCUCUUGUUUUAUUGCUGUUACAGGGUUAUAUCCCCAAAUGUAAUGGUAAAACAUUUAUUUUAAUUCUGCUUUUGUAAUAUUUAGAAUGUCUGUUUAUGCUUAAGUAUGGUUUAAACCUUGUCUACAUGUUUUAGCUUGUAAAGCAAGGUAUGUUUUAAAUAAUUGACCACAUUUAAAUCUAAUAUAAGUGGACUAAGUUGAAUCAAUUGGCAACACAAAUUAUUCUUGAGAUAUACAUGUAUAUAUAUAUUAUAAGAAAUAAAACAUCACUUAUUUAAUGGCAAAUAUUAGCAUUCCCACAGUUUAGUCGCCAAGCCUCGCCAUUAUAUUAUUCUAAGCCUUGCCUGAUAUAUUAUAAAAAGAUCAGACAAUAACCUGUUAUUCUAUAUAUAGCAGACCGUGUGGCUAUCGACCAAACUGUGCGAAUGCUUCAUAAAGAAAUAAUAACAAACCAGCGGAUGUAAUUUGGGGUUAGUCUUCUAUUAAGAGCUCUGGAGUUUCAUUAUUCUUUUGUGUGAUAAAUGUGGCCAACUCUAUUUUGAAAAUGAAAACUUUGAGAUCUUGGCAAUAUUUGCAAGUUGUUCUUGUUUGUUACAUUCGCCAAGGUUUAUACUGAUUUAUUUCAAACCCUGUUGAAAGUUUUGCUGUUAAAGGAACAGUGAACUAUUUUCAAUUUUUCUAAUGUCUUUUUCAGUCAUAGUAACUUUGUUUGAUGUUUUGGGUAAGAUUUUUCAAUAUUAUGUUUAACCAAAAAAAUCAGGUCCGCUAUCAUUUGUUUAGCCUUAAAUAAGCUCUAUCUAUAGCAAUAAUUUGGAGCAACUCGCUAUAAAUGUCGUCAUAAUCUGUAUUCAGCUCUAUAUUACUUGAUAUGCAUUCUUGAACUGAUGUUUAAAGCUUUUUAGCUCAUCUGAGCAUAAAGUGCUCGUGGUGAGCUAUUGUGAGCGCCCUGUGUCUGGUGGCAUGAAUUGUAUGUGUUCAACUUUUAGCUUGUUUUUGCUCUAGAGGCUACAUUUCAAUUGUGUACAACAACAAGGUCACCAGGUUAAAUCGCAGAAAAACCUUGUAAUCACUGUAGAAGCCACAUUUAUGACUCAAUCUUGAUGAAAUUUGGUCAGAAUUUUGGGAUCUUGAUAAUAACCCGGUCGAGUUUGAAUUUGGGUCACGUAUUUCCAAAAACAAGGACACCAAGCCCAAUCUUGGAAAAAAGAUGUUAUUACUAUAGAGGCUACAUGUUUGACCGAAUCUUGAUGAAAAGUUAAAGUGUUUAUCUUGGAAAUAUCAAGAUAGAGUUAAAACUGGAUACUGUGCAUACAAAACUACAUCUCAAGGUCAUAUCUUAGCAACACCUUGCUACCAACCUAGAUGGCACAUUUAUGACCCAAUCCUGAUGAAACUUGGUCAGUAUGUUUAUCUUUAAACUACAUGUAUCUGGGUUACCAGGUUUAAUCUAAGAAAAUCUUUUUCAUCUCUAUAGAGGCCCCAUUUAUAAUUAUCUUGAUGAAAUUUGAUUGGCAUGUUUAACGGGAUAAUACUUGGGUUAAAUUGGAUCUUGGUCACAUGUCUGAAAAUUGUGUAUCCAGGUCAACUUUUGACAAAUGGUUUUUCUCGAAUUGAGGUAAGCGAGUCAGUGCUAUUUUCGUCCCUCUUGUUAUGAUUACGUUUGCUUAUGUAUAUGAUUAUUAUUUAUAUAUUAUGGGAACUUUUCGUGCAUUUCAUAAUCUGCGAAAAAAGAAAAUCAUUGGAAAACCCA